UUCCAUACCGUACAAUUCUGAACACACCUGAUUUCAUCUGGUCUCUGAUGUUUAGCAGGAUCAGGCCUGUCUUGGUCUUGGUUAGGAGGAGACUUUUGGGGAAUAGGAAA
This 110-nucleotide ribosomal RNA is filed under the name Myotis lucifugus (little brown bat). Lineage: Eukaryota; Metazoa; Chordata; Mammalia; Chiroptera; Vespertilionidae. The record is from RNAcentral.